AGUGAACGCUGGCGGUAGGCCUAACACAUGCAAGUCGAACGGCAGCACAGUAAGAGCUUGCUCUUACGGGUGUCGAGUGGCGGACGGGUGAGGAAUACAUCGGAAUCUACUUUUUCGUGGGGGAUAACGUAGGGAAACUUACGCUAAUACCGCAUACGACCUACGGGUGAAAGCAGGGGAUCUUCGGACCUUGCGCGAUUGAAUGAGCCGAUGUCGGAUUAGCUAGUUGGCGGGGUAAAGGCCCACCAAGGCGACGAUCCGUAGCUGGUCUGAGAGGAUGAUCAGCCACACUGAAACUGAGACACGGUCCAGACUCCUACGGGAGGCAGCAGUGGGGAAUAUUGGACAAUGGGCGCAAGCCUGAUCCAGCCAUACCGCGUGGGUGAAGAAGGCCUUCGGGUUGUAAAGCCCUUUUGUUGGGAAAGAAAAGCAGCAGGUUAAUACCCCGCUGUUCUGACGGUACCCAAAGAAUAAGCACCGGCUAACUUCGUG
Molecule: ribosomal RNA, 492 nt
Filed under: uncultured bacterium
Lineage: Bacteria
Description: partial 16S ribosomal RNA
Rfam family: Bacterial small subunit ribosomal RNA
Source: RNAcentral